GCUCUCCCGCUCUCUGUAUCUUUCCGUGUCGCGUCGCUUCAUGUGGGGAUUGAAUGCCGAGUGUUAGCUUUUGAACGGAAUCGAAGCAGCUGACAGUUGAGCUUCAGCAUUAGACCAAGUAGUUUGACUUUUUAGUUUUUUCGAAACGCGAAACGAAAUGAAAAGUUUGCCGACAAGUGUGCGUGUGCGUGUGCGUGUCCAUGUGUUCUGUCUAUGUGAGUGUGUGUGUGUGUUUGUGUUGCUGUUGUGGCAGCUGCUUCUGCUGCUGCUGCAUUUGCAGCGGCGUUGCAGCGAGAGCAGACCGUACAGAAAUACAUUCCGCCCUGCAUUUAGUAUAUUUCACCUUAGAGCGUCUUUGGUCUGCCACACACACACACACACACACACACACACACACACACACACACACACACUAGAAAACCCUCUCCACACAUACACACCGCACACCGACUCAAAAAGCGCUGCAAGUUUCUUUCAUUCACGUCCGCGUGGUGGCCAUCAAAACGGAAAGCAAAGGAAAGGCAAAAGGCAAGCAUUGUCGUCGGUUCGCGUCGCGUUGCAGCGCUUCGUUCGGCUAAAAAGAAAAUCGGCCUAAAAUUGUAACAGUUUUCCUUUUGCACCGAAACGCCAAAAAAUAACGCUGCAGUCGUCGUUGCUGCAGUCGACGCUGCCGCUGCCGCUGCCGCUAACGUUGUGGGGCCUGCCGCUGGCUGCGGCCGCUGUCGGCUGCUGGCCUGCUCCCGGCCAGCGUCAGUGUUCAUUUCCCCAUCGAGUCGGCCACACACGGGCAGGAGGCGGCGGCCAACACUGAGGCAGGUGUCCAGCGGCAGGUGUCGACGUUCCGAGGACAGACACAGGCGCAUCCGAGAGUCAGUUGUGGAUUUCGUUGGCUGAUUUGGCGGAUUCGAGCACGGAUUUGGAGCUCCUCCACAGCUGUUUGUUUCUCCCUCCACACCCCACUCCAUAGUUUUCUUUUGAUUUUUCCCCGCAAGUGUUUUUCUUUGUGUGUUUGUUUCCCUUGGUUUGCGAUUGCAUGGGAUUGCAUAAACCAACAGCAACAUUUUGGGUUUUCGUAUACGUAACAUUAUUUCAGUUCAGUUCAGUUCAGUUCAGUUGGGAACGCUACGGCACGGCACGGCAAGGCACAUCUGCUCUGCAAUUGCAUUAUAAUUUGUUGUAGUACUUCCCUGGGCAUUAUGCAAUUGCAAUGGCAACAGAAACAACAACAGCUGCAACACACACACACACAGUUGUUAGAGAGACACCCUGUAAUUGCCAUAGCACGAAACAAUGCCAAUGCAAUGUGAACAACAUUAGGGGGGGACUCACACACACUCAUCAGCUAUAGAUACAGAUCCCCACACACACUCAUAAAUAGCCCACACUCGGGCGUCUGGCCUGGCAAUUUGUUUAAAACAAUCAACGGCCACUGUGCGGCCUUCCAUCUCUUUCGUACGCUGCACUCUCGUGUGGUGUUGCUGAAUGUUUUAAAUUUAGUUUUUCUGCACUUGCUUGUAACCCAAAUUUCUGGCGAGUCUUCUUUUUCCUCUCUUUUUUUGCUGGCACAUUCACUCGUAUGCGUAUUACGUAGAUUUUAUAUAAGAUGCAGCAACAUUUUGGUCAAACAAUGUCAGGCAAUGGGGUGACAGAGAAAGGGUUGCACAGAGACAGGGUCACAGCGGUACAGAGGUAGCGAGAGAGUUGAGAGACAAUAGCGUACACCUGAAGUUAAUUGCACACGAGGACUGGGGAUUUAAUUUCCCAAGUGAAACAGAGUCUUGGCUCAAUUAAAGCACAGCUUUGACAGGCGGCGGCAUCUGAUGAAAGGCAAACACUCAAAAAAAUCUACAACAUGCUAUAAAAUAACAAUUAUAGCAGGAAAGACAGAGAGAGACAGAGAGAGAGAGAGACAAGCACUUGCAAUUUGAGAGAUUCAAAGCAACAAAAACAAACCACACACACAGACACACAUACACGUAAUCACUUGACCUUGCACGGCUUUUUUUCUUGCAAUACAAAGAAAAACAGAGAUACAAUAUACAUAUAACACAUAGCUAGAUACAAUUCAUACAUGUGUAGAGAGAGAAAGAGAGAGCUAACAGCCAAUUGCAAUAUUUUCGUGUAAAAAUAACGAACAGAACGAACUUUUAUAUAAGGCCCCAAACACACACCGAGACUCUGUGGGAAAACUGCAAGCGUGUGGGUGAUGAAAUGACUGCAAUGCCUCUGCCAUGAGGUCGAUUUUUAGUAGAGGCAAAAACACUCGCUUUGAUAUGUGUGUAGGUAUAUUUGUACGAGUAGUGCGCGGGGGUGGAUCUAUGACUGAAAAAAUGCAUUUGACACAGAAAAAAGCAGCAGAGCACAGCUAGCACAAGCGUCUAACAGAGCAGAAAUUGAAUCAAAGAUUCAGCUAAUGCCCUAAAUAAUGAGUAUCUCAGCAAUAUUCAAUGAUUCAUGAGAAUCGCCAAUAGCCGCUGAUUGAUUUGAUGGAACUACAUUUCGCGCGUAGCCAAAAACCAGUUUAAGGCCUUCAACUUCAAGCUACAAAAGCUAUGGAAAAAUGUUAGCCAAAAGCCAACAACAACUUUGAUAUAAGCCAGAGAAAUCUCCGCACAGAAUACACAGAGUCCAAAAGUUGUCUUCUCCCUAGAAAAGUUUUUCCAAACAAAAAGCAAAAUAUAUUUAGCAUAUCAAAUUUUAUUAGCUAUGCCGUUGGACUUUGUGGUCUGCUCUUUUUGUUUAAAUUAUAUUCUAUAUACGCAAAACUUGAGCAUAUAUUUUAUAUAAAUAUUCCGCAACAUCUUGCCAGUUCGCUGCUAAAAUUUGCAUUUGGAAUUUGAACUUUAACUGAUAUCAGCAGCAGCAGCAGCAGCAGCAGCAGCCAGACCAGACCAGACAGAAUCCCAAAACAUUUUUAGCCUAAAGCAAUUACCUCGACUGUCAUGAGCAGAUAUCGUUAUGACAUCAUUGGCGGCGUCAUUUAGUGAUGGAUCGUUAGCUAAAUACAAGCUGCAUAUGUACACUGUAUGUAUACAUAAACGUACGUACGCAGGUUAGUCAGCAUUUUAUUUGGAGGAUGCUGAAAUAAUCUCUAAAAUGUACGAGACUGACUGAUAAGCCUGUCUGGCAUUCCUCUAGCUUUUGCUUGUGUCUCAUUUUGUUGUUAUGAAUCACGUGUUUCGAUUCGAUAGUUUCAAAGUAUUUAAAUAUAGGUACAAAAACGCUCGCUCUUUAGAAUGUCUUUUGAUAUUUUGCGGCUGUUUGUUUUUGCUGUUUUGUGGCGACCUUCCGCCCGGGCCGCAAGGUCAUAUGUGAGGAGAUUCCGUUGCAGCAGCCACUGCAAAACUCAUUCCAAAUGGAGGUCAAUCUCGACCCGCUGCAGUGCGACUCUCCCUCGUCCUUCACAGCACAGCACGGCACAGCAGUUAUGUAAAGAAGGAAGUGGGUCAGUGUUAUGACCUAGUUUCUCAGUGGGUGGUACGGGGAAUACCCACCACCCAUUGACAUUUCCAUGCACAGCUUCAAGCUCAUUCGCUUACCCAUCCUCGGGUGCUGUUUGAUUAGUUUGAAAUGUGUGUUUUGGCACCUUCAAUAAUUACAGCUGGAUGGCCCGCUGUCGCUGUCGCUGUCGCUGCCUGGCUAUUGAUUUUUGAGUCGGUGCAGCUAUGCGCUUUGUGUGUGUCUGUGCAUAUAGUAUAGUCAACCUAGAUAACUUUGGCAUGGCCCAAGAGUGUACGACUAAAAGUAUCUAUCGCACAAGCAUGCAGUUCGCGAGCUUAGCCAAGGAGCCAAAAAUAAAGAUUAUUUUUUGGCUCCGAGCCAAUAUGGCAAUGCACAUUUGCAAGGGAUGAAAAGGCGGGGCGAAUGGGGGGUGCUUGGAUGGUGGUGCUGCAGGGUAAAAUGAAAAGUGAAAUGUUGCCAUGUAAAGUGGAAGGAAGCAGAGCAAGCCCCAUCCAACCAUCUAUAUCUAUAUGUGUUCUAUAUAUACAGAGAGAGAGAACUGACAUUUAUUAGUUUGCAAAGUCGACAAGUGCUCUAUAAAUAUGGCCAAAAUGCACUCAAAUGACAAAAUGUAUGGCCAACUGCAUAACUCAUCUAUUGCCCACCUCUGACCCGUUCAGUUUCCUCCCCCUCAACUACCCUUGCCGUGAAUGCAUUGCACACUUGUGUGUCACUUUGCUUUGCCUCUUAUUACAUCACCGAGAAGGCAAAACCGACACGAUACGGAUAGACUUUUGCUUGAGGCCUUUACCGAUUUGGGUCAACCUCUGAGCCUGCCAACAAAUCUUCACAGACACACACACAGACACGCUUUGAUAUGAGGUUUUGUCGAUGAGUCCUAGUCGAAGUCACUUCUUGUUGUUCUUGGCCAAACAAAAGUUCUUUAAACUGCAAGAGGGGUGGUAAAAGUUAGACAGAAACAUUAAAGAUUUAUGUGUGUCAGGGCGUAGUUUUAUUCAGCUCAAUUUUCCUUUCCCUUUCAUUGGUCAUUCCACUCUCUAUCUGUCUAUCGGAUAAACCAUUCUCUUUUUGGUCUCCAAAGCAAAUCCCCUGUAGAUCUUUCGCUCAUUAGCUAUCACGCCUUUGGCGCAUGACUCAGUUUUGUUGUUGUCUUUAAUUUUAGACAAAAUACCACAUAAAACCAAAAGAAACAAAAACAAAUACCGCUAUCUGCUGCUAGCAUCAGUCGUCAUUAGUUUGCUGCGUCAAUUGUUUGUAUUUAUAAAUGCCGCAAAGGCACGUAAAUGGCGCUAGAAUACAAGAAAUUCCGUUUUUCCAGCUAAUCACGAGCAUACUUCCACAUUGCUCUGACUGUGUUGGCUGUUGCUAAGCGCUCCAUGCGCUCACUUGAAGUAGUCGAAAAAUCAUUCAUAAAAUUUGUGAAAUGAAAUAUAUUUGGCGAGUCAGACAGACAGACACAAGGGUUGCUCUGUCUCUCUAUCUGUCUGUCUGUCUCCAUGUCUGGUAGUUGUUGUUUUCCCUCUGUCUGCAGAUAGCGCACGGAAUGGCAAACAUUCCGCUUUUUUUUUGGUAUUACGUAUACGCAGCGUUCUCCAUGCGAUAUGCUUUUCUUCUCUGUAUUUUUGCGCGUUCCUCAGACUAUUGCGUGUGCGCUCGCGUUCGUUAGCUUCUAUAGAUACAGAUGUAUAUAUAUAUACAUUGUAUAUUUCACUGGUUGUGUAUGUGUGUGUGUCUGUUUAGCAGAUAAUAAGUGCCAGAGUCCGCGUGUACGUGUUGGUGACUCGCUCGCGCUGAUCAUGCGACCUACCAAAUUGCUUGAAAAAUGGGGGAAACACGUUCUCUUGCUCUGGAGCAUUUCUUCUUCGAUGUUACAACACAAAAAGGGGCAUUCCCACUUCUGUUUCUCUUUACCAAAAUGUUUCUAGUGUCUGUCGCUUGUUUUGCAUUUCGCAUUUGCAAUUGGCAAAUCUAUUUUUGUUUGGCCAAGUCAAAGUGUAAUUUAUUUAAGUAGCGUUAUGGGCCACUUCCGGUGACGACAACACUUCUCCGAAAACUUUGUUGGCAGUGGCAGGCGGGCAGGCGGGCAGGCAGGCAGCUUUGAUGACCCAGAUAGUGGAAACGUAAACGUGUUGGCCAACACACAUUCAUGCAGCAGGGAGGGGGGCGGGCACGUCAUGAAGUGCUAAUGAAAAAUGCUCAGCAUUUGCCUAAUGAAAUUAUAACUGAGCCACUAAGUGCGCCAUAAAGAGGGAAAGAAAAAGAGUUUGGAAUGGGAAGAGGAAUAGGAAUAGGAAUAGGAGUAGGGGUGGAGCAGGAAUGUUUUCGGGGCAUUUUAGAAAUUGUCGGUGGCACUCGUGGGCCAGGUCGAGCAUGUAGCCCAUUUAACGCACAUGGAAACAAGAAACAAAAACCAAAACAAGCACAUGGAACCGUAUUUCGUUGCUUUAUUCAGUUAACGCUUUUUAAGCUCAUGAGCUAGCUUUUCAUUUAUCAAUACACCAAAGCACACAGGCACACACACACACAUCGACAGUAAUGAACAAUAAUUUAUUUAAUUGACCGAGCUCUUGUUCUUUCGAAAUUAGAACACACAGAGAGAGAGAGAGAGAGAGAGAGAGACUCUCGCACGCGAUUAAAAACUAAAUGGUUUACACAUAGUAUUAUGAAUUUUUAUAAGCGGAAACUUUUUUUAUUGGCUGUCUCUGUCGUACAUUUAAUCCCACUCGCCACACAGAUGACGCAUCACGCAUACGCGCAGCAACAGCAGCAGCAACAGCAGCAGCAACAGCAGCAGCGUGUUGCAAGCAAACAUGGUUUCAACAGUGUUUUUUGUGUUACUUUUCCCGUCCCAAGCAAUAUGGAUUUUAUUCUCUAAUUUGCGGAUUUUCCUUGUUAGCUUUUCGGUUGCAUUUUUGUUUCUUUUUUUGUGGCCUCGUUUUGGAUUUUAUUUUGCCACACCCCGAGUCAGAGUCAAAAGCAGCCAUGCAAGUCGAGAUCGAAGGCUGGCUGCGUUUUGGCAGAAUACAAAUUGAAUCUUUGCUCCAAAUAACAUUUGGAACUUUUCGGAUGGGCAGGGGAUCCGCAUCAAGCUUACUGUGGGAGUCUACCACAGAGUCUCUACUCAGAGACUGAGUAUAACCCUUCAGUGUUCCCCCCUCAUUAAGGCGUUGUCUGCACUCUGCUGCGUUUCAGUUUAUAAUCGUCUUUCCUAUCUUAUCUUCGCGGCUGGCAAGCGGUACGGUACGGUACGAGGUUCGAUGUGGGGAGCACAUUUCAUGAUUUUACUUUGUUAAUUUCCGCAUGGAUUUUACUGGUGACUGAUGGGGCCCGAACAUGCUUAGUGGGCAAACUGGUGCCAGAACAAACGACAUUUUGUGACAUACAAAUGACUUGUAUAACCGAGCGCCGAUCGCCAAUCAGCGAUCCACAUCGACCCACUUUCCACACCAACUGCUGCCACUAUCGGCUCCGCACCUUGGCACCUGCGAUUGCUUAUCACUCACAUUCGAGAGGUUUGACAUGGGCUCCAUUUUCGGGUAGAGCUGAUCGCACAGAUAUCGCUGCUGGUUCAUUGCACCUUCUCGUUACUCCUCCCCACAUGUUACACGUUCAGCAUUAUUCUGCAUGAGUUCUGAGUUUUGGUUUAGUUAUGAAAGAUUCCUCUUUGGUUGAUGUUUUCUGUACGUCCCUCGUUUGUUUCCCUUUCUUUUGUGUUGUUCUGCCAAAUCCAGUAACAGCUGCAGGAAAAUCCACUGACUGCCAGCAACGCUGCCGCACGACUCUCUGUACGCGAUGUCGCGACCGCGACGGGCUCAAACAAAUCGAUUAAACGAUAAACCGAUCAACGAUAAACGAUUAACUGAACAUAGCAAAAGCAUCCUUUAAAUGUUUUGGGUUGCGUGUCAGGAGUGCAUUUGCACUGAAACAUUCUGAAGCUUGUAAAUGCACUAUCUGGUACGACAUUCCAGAACGUACAAUCUUCCCGAAUGCAAGACAAAUGCGAAUAACUAAAUCAAAUUAUAUGCAAUUUUUGUGAUAGUGUGAAACAAUUUCUCAAAACUGAUUUACUUAAAUUAAUUUUAACUAGAACUAAAAUAAGUUACUGUAAGCUUUACACAUUAUAAUUGUAAGAGAUUUUAU
Molecule: long non-coding RNA, 7602 nt
Filed under: Drosophila guanche
Lineage: Eukaryota; Metazoa; Arthropoda; Insecta; Diptera; Drosophilidae
Rfam family: mir-277 microRNA precursor family (bases 7347-7435)
Source: RNAcentral